Molecule: microRNA, 23 nt
Filed under: Danio rerio (zebrafish)
Lineage: Eukaryota; Metazoa; Chordata; Actinopteri; Cypriniformes; Danionidae
Description: dre-miR-25-5p
Gene: dre-miR-25-5p
Source: miRBase by way of RNAcentral
AGGCGGAGACUUGGGCAGCUGCC